This 31-nucleotide non-coding RNA is filed under the name Rattus norvegicus (Norway rat). The record is from RNAcentral. Lineage: Eukaryota; Metazoa; Chordata; Mammalia; Rodentia; Muridae.
UAUGCCUUAGACACCAGUCAUCAAUGGAAGU